This 306-nucleotide ribosomal RNA is filed under the name Triticum aestivum (bread wheat). RNAcentral's name for it is "partial small subunit ribosomal RNA". Lineage: Eukaryota; Viridiplantae; Streptophyta; Magnoliopsida; Poales; Poaceae. The record is from RNAcentral.
GGGUUCUUGCCUGUAUUACAAGGUGUGAGAUUGAGCACGGCUCAAUGCCCAACCACGACAGAAGAUAGAGAAAAGAUGAGUGUCAUCCUCUAUGCCUCGGCCAUAGGGUCUAUUAUGUAUGCCAUGCUGUGUACCAGACCUAAUGUAAACCUUGCCGUAAGUUUGGUAGGAAUGUAUCAAAGUAAUCCCGGCAUGGAACACUGGACAGCGGUCAAGAACAUCCUGAAGUACCUAAAAAGGACUAAGGAUAUGUUUCUCGUUUAUGGAGGUGAUGAAGAGCUCGUCGUAAAGAGUUACGUCGAUGCU